RNAcentral lists this non-coding RNA (24 nucleotides) under Cricetulus griseus (Chinese hamster). The record is from RNAcentral. Lineage: Eukaryota; Metazoa; Chordata; Mammalia; Rodentia; Cricetidae.
GUAUGGAUGAGGAAGUUGGCAUUU